Molecule: long non-coding RNA, 485 nt
Organism: Drosophila nasuta
Lineage: Eukaryota; Metazoa; Arthropoda; Insecta; Diptera; Drosophilidae
Exons: 2
Source: RefSeq, a predicted model, not a curated record
UCAUACCAGACUUGAGACGGCGGCAUGAUUCCGCUAUAUGCAUACUGUCGUCGCAGAAGCACUUGAUGCAUCUGCACCAUAUAUUGCAAAGAAUUGCAAUUAGUACGUGGGAGUGAAAUGUGCACGGUGCCACCAUUUGACCAGUGAAGUGGCUGGACCGAUAUCGAUAAAACUAUCCUCCAGUCAAAUAUAAAACCCCAUUUCAAUUUCAAUCGCAUCUGUUUGAAUGAUGCGUUUCCAUAAUGUAAGUGUUAACACCAAAGUUUAUUUUCAUUUAUUUUUUUACCUCUUCGUUUUUUUUAAUAAUUACAAAGCCAAAACAUUUAAAAAUCAGCUUUCUUCCAUCGAUUUCGCACUUUUACGUUUUUAAUUUAUAAACAAAUAUUAGCUAAAAUACUUUUAAGGAUCGUUGUCGCAUCACGCAAUGUGGAUGCAUUCGCCCCUCUCUUACGCAUAACCGCUUGUGGAACGCUGCGUCAGAACGU